RNAcentral lists this ribosomal RNA (301 nucleotides) under uncultured bacterium. RNAcentral describes it as "partial 16S ribosomal RNA". It matches the Rfam family "Bacterial small subunit ribosomal RNA", at positions 509 to 807 of the family's 1533-position model. The record is from RNAcentral.
CAGUAGCCGCGGGAAAACGAAGGGUGCAAGCGUUACUCGGAAUUACUGGGCGUAAAGCGUGUGUAGGUGGUUGUUUAAGUCUGUCGUGAAAGCCCUGGGCUCAACCUGGGAAUUGCGAUGGAUACUGGGCGACUAGAGUGCGGUAGAGGAUAGUGGAAUUUCCGGUGUAGCAGUGAAAUGCGUAGAGAUCGGAAGGAACAUCUGUGGCGAAGGCGACUAUCUGGGCCAACACUGACACUGAGACACGAAAGCGUGGGGAACAAACAGGAUUAGAUACCCGGGUAGUCCAUGUCUCUUAUAC